Molecule: ribosomal RNA, 498 nt
Filed under: uncultured bacterium
Lineage: Bacteria
Description: partial 16S ribosomal RNA
Rfam family: Bacterial small subunit ribosomal RNA
Source: RNAcentral
GAUGAACGCUGGCGGCGUGCCUAAUACAUGCAAGUCGAGCGAACAGACGAGGAGCUUGCUCCUCUGACGUUAGCGGCGGACGGGUGAGUAACACGUGGAUAACCUACCUAUAAGACUGGGAUAACUUCGGGAAACCGGAGCUAAUACCGGAUAAUAUAUUGAACCGCAUGGUUCAAUAGUGAAAGACGGUUUUGCUGUCACUUAUAGAUGGAUCCGCGCCGCAUUAGCUAGUUGGUAAGGUAACGGCUUACCAAGGCAACGAUGCGUAGCCGACCUGAGAGGGUGAUCGGCCACACUGGAACUGAGACACGGUCCAGACUCCUACGGGAGGCAGCAGUAGGGAAUCUUCCGCAAUGGGCGAAAGCCUGACGGAGCAACGCCGCGUGAGUGAUGAAGGUCUUCGGAUCGUAAAACUCUGUUAUUAGGGAAGAACAAAUGUGUAAGUAACUAUGCACGUCUUGGCGGUACCUAAUCAGAAAGCCACGGCUAACUACGUGC